GUGGGGAAUAUUGGGCAAUGGGCGAAAGCCUGACCCAGCAACGCCGCGUGAAGGAAGAAGGUCUUCGGAUCGUAAACUUCUAUCCUUGGUGAAGAUAAUGACGGUAGCCGAGAAGGAAGCCCCGGCUAACUACGUGCCAGCAGCCGCGGUAAUACGUAGGGGGCAAGCGUUGUCCGGAAUGAUUGGGCGUAAAGGGCGCGUAGGCGGCCUGGUAAGUCUGGAGUGAAAGUCCUGCUUUUAAGGUGGGAAUUGCUUUGGAUACUGUCGGGCUUGAGUGCAGGGGAGGUAAGUGGAAUUCCCGGUGUAGCGGUGAAAUGCGUAGAGAUCGGGAGGAACACCAGUGGCGAAGGCGACUUACUGGACUGUAACUGACGCUGAGGCGCGAAAGCGUGGGGAGCAAACAGGAUUAGAUACCCUAGUAGUCC
RNAcentral lists this ribosomal RNA (425 nucleotides) under uncultured bacterium. RNAcentral's name for it is "partial 16S ribosomal RNA". It matches the Rfam family "Bacterial small subunit ribosomal RNA", at positions 354 to 796 of the family's 1533-position model. The record is from RNAcentral.